UGACCUUCAUGCUGCUCUUGGCCGCUGUGGAGCAUACCAUUGGAUAGAACCUCCUGUUCUGCAGCCGAGUGGCAGCCACUCCUGGAAGGGAAACAGCCUAAGUCCCUCAUGGCUCAGGAAGGGCCAGGAAAGGGGCUGCAAGGUAUCCAGAUGUACACCAAUGAUGGAGCCCUGGCCGAAGCGUGAAGAAAAACUUGUCUUAUCGCCUUUGUGGUGAAGGAGCCCUGGAGGCAGUUGAGAUGGCCGGGAGCCCUGAAAAUCCAGCUGUCAGAGACUACCUCCUGCCUUCUCCUAAACCACUGGGAUGGUUCUGACAGCAAGAUCCAGCAUGAGGUUCCUCACAUCAAAAGACCUGAUCCUGAUCCUGAUCCUGAUCCUGUCUUGGGAUGUGGCCCCAUCACUGGAGGAAAGUCAGGAGCUCUUAAUGAGCCUAAUGGGCUGACACUGUUGCUUCAAGCCUCAGUUGUAGCAAACUCCUCCAAAGAGGUACAGUCCUUGUGGCUUGAGCUUUCAAUCCUAGGGACCUAGUAUAGGUACAGAUAAGGCUGAGCUGACCAGGUUCCAACCAUUGACCAAUCCACACCAUUCAGUUACUUUGUAUGCCCCUGAGCUCGUCAGGGAGGGUCCCCAGGUCACCCAUUACUGAGAACCAUCAUGGUUGCUGGGCAAUCGAGGUGGCAGCCAGCAACAGAGACCUGAGCGUGCUUAGUCAGCUAAGAUAAACCGAAGCCCCUCAGGAGCCAAUCAAAAUAGCUAUCUUGACUAGAGGGGAGGUCUAGAUAGGCCAGACCUAGAGGGCUGUACGCCACUGGUAUAAACAGAGGGUCCUCCAAAAUCAAGGCUGACCCACUGAGUCAAGAGCCAAAGUCAAUCUGAUCCACCCUGGCUGGCUCCAGGGCAAAAGGAAGGGAGGGUACUACUUAGGCCAACACAGGGCCCAGGGGAGAUCAGGUACUGCCCACAUGGAUGACAGGCCCAUUAGAUGACAGAUGACACACAGCAUGUGUGUGUCACUACCGCAGUCCCAUAGUGAAGAGCCUGUGAAGCAUAGUCUACUCAAAGACACACUGUCACUGGGAGCUAGAGGUGUAGCUGGAAUUUGAGCUCGCCUAUCAAGUUCAGAGGACCCAGGAAGGGCCUGGAUGCUGCUGACCAGGUCAGAGGCAACAUAAGGCAGAACCAGACCUCCAUUACAAUGACACCUCAGGAAGCCAGAUGAGGAGCUACCCCUUCACUGUGCCCCACAGACCUAGAAGUCGUAGAGAGAUGAGCAAAAAUCCUGUCCAUCUCUACCCCUGCCCUGUAUUCCUGGGCCUCCCCGUGCUCAGAGAGUCUCCAAGCAAGGAAGGCUUGGGAAAUGUAAAUAUCAAGAAUCACAGAUACAAAUAAAAAAGAAGGGCACUUGCUGCCAAGUCUGAUGACCUGAGUUUAAUCCUAGGGUCCCACAUGGUGGAAGAAGAGAACUGACCACCAUUAGUUGUUCUCUGACCUCCACAUGCACACUGUAGCACAUAUGUCCACACACUCAUACACAAUAAACUGCCUCAAGUUGAAGGUAGCCUAAAGUACAGCAUGAGACCAUAUCUAAAAAUAUCAACAGAAAGUAAACCACAGAUGCUUUUAGACACAUACAUGAAUGUAAAGUGAAUACUUGUACUGAAAAAUGAAACAUGUAGGUCCAGCAAGAAGGUUCAGUAGGUAAACAUUUGCUGUACAAGCCUGACAACAUAAAUUGGAUCCCCAGAACCCAAGUAAAGGUAGAAGGAAAGAACAAACUACACUCUAGUUGUCCUCUGACAUCCAUGCACACUCUGUGGUACACAUACACCAUAUAAAUACAAUAAUAAGGAAAAAGAAACCUUCAGAGGUAUGUACCAAGUUGAGGGCUGAACAGCACUAUCUAGGACUGCCAUUCCCUGGGAAGGCUCCCUGCCUAUCUUGAGUCUGUCACCUUCAGACUACAUGUUUUUACCACACCAAAGAACCUUGCCAAGCAUGGUGAACCAGGAGACAGUCCAGUCACUUGGCUCAGCAUCUUUUUCUGACUCCUCAUCCAUA
This is a long non-coding RNA of Nannospalax galili (Upper Galilee mountains blind mole rat), 2058 nucleotides long. RefSeq lists it as uncharacterized. The record is from RefSeq and is a predicted model, not a curated record. The transcript is spliced from 3 exons. Lineage: Eukaryota; Metazoa; Chordata; Mammalia; Rodentia; Spalacidae.